AAUUAUUGGARGUCGUGCCUGCCCACUGAAUUAUUUUGAAUGGCCGCGGUAUUUUGACCGUGCAAAGGUAGCAUAAUCAUUAGUCUUUUAAUUGUAGACUGGGAUGAAUGGUUUGACGAGAUAGUAGCUGUCUCUUUAAUAAAAUUUGAAUUUUACUUUUAAGUUAAAAUGCUUAAAUGAUAAACUGGGACGAGAAGACCCUAUAGAUCUUUAUUUUUAAUUAAUUAAUUAAUUAUUUAGAAGUUUAAAUUAUUAAUUGAUAAAAAAUUUUGUUGGGGUGAUGGAAGAAUAGUAAAAGCUUCUUUUAUAUAAAAACUAAGAUUUUUGGAUAAAUUGAUCCUUUAAUAUGGAUAUAAGAUUAAGAUACCUUAGGGAUAACAGCGUAAUUCUAUUUGAGAGUUCUUAUCGACAAUGGAGAUUGCGACCUCGAUGUUGGAUUAAGAUUACAUUAUAGGUGUAGAAGCUAUAUAUGUUAGUCUGUUCGACUAUUAAAUUCUUACA
This 501-nucleotide ribosomal RNA is filed under the name Lerneca ornata. Its description in RNAcentral is "partial 16S ribosomal RNA". It matches the Rfam family "Bacterial large subunit ribosomal RNA", at positions 1841 to 2600 of the family's 2925-position model. The record is from RNAcentral. Lineage: Eukaryota; Metazoa; Arthropoda; Insecta; Orthoptera; Phalangopsidae.